Molecule: ribosomal RNA, 440 nt
Filed under: uncultured bacterium
Lineage: Bacteria
Description: partial 16S ribosomal RNA
Rfam family: Bacterial small subunit ribosomal RNA
Source: RNAcentral
CCUACGGGAGGCAGCAGUAGGGAAUAUUGCUCAAUGGGGGAAACCCUGAAGCAGCAACGCCGCGUGGAGGAUGACGGUUUUAGGAUUGUUAACUCCUUUUGUUAGAGAAGAUUAUGUCGGUAUCUAAAGUAUAAGCACCGGACAACUCCGUGCAAGCAGCCGCGGUAAUAUGGAGGGGGCAAGCGUUAUUCGGAAUGACUGGGCGUAAGGGGUGCGUAGGCGGGGUAAUAAGUCAGAUGUGAAAUGCUGUAGCUUAACUACGGAACUGCCUUUGAAACUGUUGCUCUGGAGUGUGGGCGUGGUAGGUGGAAUGUAUGGUGUAGGGGUGAAAUGCGUAGAGAUCAAGAGGAAUACUCAUUGCGAAGGCGGCCUGCUGGAACAUUACUGACGCUGAGGCACGAAAGCGUGGGGAGCAAACAGGAUUAGAUACCCUGGUAGUC